UUUAAAAACAUGUGGGCUUUGGCCAUUUGUAAAUCCAAUGUUUUGUUAUUCGUAAAAUGUUUUUUCCAUUGUAUUUGAAAUCACAGUUUAAAAUGUGAUUUCGAAAAAACGGUGUAGGGGACUAUAUACUCCAACCAAUAAAAAGCAGCCACGUGGCAUAGUCGUUAAUCCAUCAGGUCGCUACGAUCUCAACUUACUCAUAGCUCGACCACAACAACUCGACUACAUAAUCAGCAGCGGCCUGCUAAUACGCACGUGUCCUAAUUCGGCGCACAAGAUAUUCUCUCCAGCUGUUGUCCUAUCAUUACAACUGUUACACAAUCGCUGGAGAAUAUUAUAUCACCAUAAAUAUGUCGGAGAAUCUGCAGGAUCCCAAGAUCUUCGCCUCUUCACCUUCUAUAUAAACAAAACUACGAUGAAUUGAUCUCUAAGUUCAAUCCCCACGAACUAGAGUACGUAGGCAAUCUCAAUCUCAACGAGGUGCAGCCACCCCGAUCUAAAACUCCCCCCAUUGGUUAAGUCUGUUAACGACCUGACCUAGUGAAUGCAUUGAUCUAGAAAUAGGUUAAUACAAACGGUAUAUGCCGAGAUAGAAACUGAGUGUUCAUGGAUAUUUGCAGAUAUUUAUAUAUCCGAUUUUUCAAAAAACCUUUUAAAGUAUUAAGUAACUUGAAGUUAACUCCGCAAUAUAUAAAGAGACAGAAGUGACUAGAAGAAUAUAUGUCAUCCCUUUGUGUAUAGAUACAUAUGAAGAAGAGAUUAACCAAGUGUAUGUAUUAUGGAAGAAAGAGAUAAGUGGACGGUAGUUCCCUUUGUAUUCAUACCAUAUUGCUCUGUAUCAUUCUCAUAUACAUAUGUGUAUAUAUAUAUAUGUACAUAAAGUCAAACACUUAUAUGCUUGUGCAAUAGAGAUUUCUGCCACAUGGAAUUCCUUUGUGACACCUAUUAGUGAUGAUGAAUCAACCAACAUUAACUCCUUCAACUAACUUAGUAGGAUAUGUGGGCUUGAGCUUGGGCUUGUUGAUUGGACACCCACACCAUUCACAACACUCCCCCUUGGAUGUACAAUCCCACCAUAUCAAGGUCAUUGCCUCGUUAAAACCUUGCCAGGAAAACCCAAUGGGAAAAACCAUAGCUAAGGAAAAAGAGUACAAUGGUUGACGUCUUAAUUGGUGUUGGACGCGCUAUAUACUGCCUCGUUAAAACCUUGCUAGGAAAACCCAGUGGGAAAAACCAUAGCUAAGGAAAAAGAGUACAGUGCGCUUCAUGUCCUGGCGGCUCCCCCUGAAGAUAACUCCUCCUUAUGAAAAUCAGGCUAAGCUCGACUUUCGACGCAUCCCAAUACCAUAUGCCAGUUUCUCAAAAGCUGGUGGAGCUAGUGACUUAGUGAACAAAUCAGCGAGAUUCUCAUCAGACCAUAUCUUCUGGACAUUGAUCUCGUUACUCUGCUGGAGUUCAUGAGAGAAGAAGAAUUUUGGAGAAAUGUGUUUUGUUCUAUCACUUCUGAUGUAGCCUUCCCUGAUUUGAUCAAUACAUGCAACAUUGUCUUCAUAAAUCACCGUUGGUGUCUCUAAAACUGAGGGGAGUCCGCAUGUUGAUUGGAUAUGGUGUAUCAAGAGCCUCAACCAUACACACUCACGAGUUGCUUCAUGGAGUGCAAGUAUCUCCGAGUGGUUGGAAGAUGUAGCAACCAAUGUUUGCUUAGAAGAUCGCCAAGAAAUUGCUGUACCACCAUAAGUAAAUACAUACCCGGUUUGCGAUCUUUCUUUGUGUGGGUCAGAUCUAUAUCCAGCAUCUGCAUACCCCUUUAGUUGGGAGCCAUUUGGCGGUUCUCUGGAAUAGUAUAAACCCAUAUCAGUCGUUCCUCGAAGGUAACGCAUAAUCUCCUUUAAGCCAGUCCAAUGUCGUCGGGUUGGAGCUGAGCUAAACCUGGCUAACAAAUUCACUGCAAAUGAAAUGUCAGGUCUAGUACAUUGGGCUAAAUAUAAAAGAGCACCCACAGUACUCAAGUAUGGUACUUCAGGACCAACUAAAGAUUCAUUGUCCUCUUUAGGACGAAAUGGGUCUAAUUUCACAUCAAGUGACCUUAUGACCAUCGGAGUGCGACUUGGGCGACAUUUGUUCAUGUUAAAACGCUUUAAAACUUUUUCAGUAUACGUUGACUGAUGGACAAAUAUUCCAUGCGUCGUAUGUUCGAUCUGCAGGCCGAGACAAUACUUUGUUUUACCGAGAUCUUUCAUCUCGAACUCAUUCUUUAAAGAGUUUGAUGCUCUGGUAAUCUCUUCAGGAGAUCCAAUUAUAUUUAUGUCAUCGACAUAAACCGCAAUGAUGGCAAACCCUAAAUUUGCUUUCUUAAUGAUAUACAUGGGCAAAUGGGAUCAUUCUUGUACCCUUCCUUUCAGUAGGUACUCACUGAGGCGAUUGUACCACAUACGCCCGGACUGUUUCAAUCCAUAUAAUGAUCUCUUAAGCUUAAUAGAGUACAUAUUACGUGGUUUUGCUUCAGGCAAUUUUAAUCCUUCAGGGACUUUCAUAUAAAUAUCAGUAUCCAACAUUCCGUAAAGAUACGCAGUAACCACGUCCAUGAGAUGCAUGUCGAGUCUUUCAGAGACUGCCAGACUGAUUAAAAAUCGAAAUGUAAUUGCAUCCAUCACGGGAGAAUAGGUCUCUUCAUAAUCAAUCCCAGGUUUCUGCGAGAAACCUUGUGCCACGAGACGAGCUUUAUAUCUUACAAUCUCGUUUUUCUCAUUGCGUUUCCUUGCAAAUACCCAUUUGUAACCUACAGGGUUAACAUUCUUGGGGGUUAGGACUACAGGUCCAAACACAUUUCGUUUUGCAAGAGAAUCCAAUUCUGCUUGAAUUGCAUCCUUCCAUUUUAGCCAAUCAUGUCGUUGUCGACAUUCCUCAACAGUAUGUGGUUCAAGACCAUCAUCAUCUGCUGCAAUCUCAGCAGCUACGGCAAAGGAGAAUACGUCAUCGAUGACAAUUUUGUUUCUAUUCCACAACUCUCUUGUGCAUGCAUAAUUUACAGAAAUUUCAUCAUUUUCAGGUACCUGGGCCACAUCUGGGGCUUGUGUCACUUCAGGGACGGCCACUUCAGGGGCCUGUGCCACUUCAGGGACGUAUUCCUCUUCAAGAGGUUUUUGUUUAGAGAGAGUGUGUUUUCCUUGCCUUGUAGUCUCUCCAGGAGCGCUAUUUACUUGAGGUUUUGUUUGGUUUUUCCUCUUCCGGGGAUUUGAGUCUUUUGAACCAACAGGUCGUCCACGCUUCUGGCGUACUUUAGACGAUUCAUUUGCUGCCACAUUCGCGGGUUGUCUUUCAGAGACGUGUCGUCCUUCAGGGACAGAUCGUCCUUCUGGGACUUCAAUUCGCACAGGCGCAUUAGCAGCUGGUACAUGUGACCUUGUCACUUUUGCUGCGUUUGUAAAACCAUCAGGCAAUUGCCAAGCAAUUUUCUGAAGGUAAAUGAUCCUUUGUACUUCAGUUUCACACAAAGAAGUACGUGGAUCAAGAUGAGACAGAGUUGGUGUAUACCAAGUCAAUUUAGGUGCUUCUGCGGGAAGCCACAGUUCACGUCGUUCUCCAGGAACAGACGAAUUUCCUCCCCCUAAAGACGGGAAGGCUGUCUCAUCAAAGUGGCAAUCCGCAAAUCUUGCGGUAAAAACAUCACCUGUCAAAGGUUCAAGAUAUCUAGUAAUAGACGGAGAAUCAAAACCAACAUAAAUUCCUAAUCUACGUUGCGGUCCCAUUUUUGUGCGUUGGGGUGGCGCAAUUGGAACUUGCACCGCACAACCAAAUGUUCGGAGAUGAGAAAUAUUUGGUUGAUGACCAAAAGCAAGUUGUAAAGGAGAAUAUUGAUUAUAUGCAUUUGGUCUAAGUUGAACCAGUGCGGCGGCAUGCAAUAUAGCAUGUCCCCAUGCAGAAACAGGCAACUUCGAUUUCAUAAGCAUGGUGCGUGCAAUCAUCUGAAUAUGUUUGAUAAAGGACUCUGCUAAUCCAUUCUGUGUAUGCACAUGAGUAACGGGAUGCUCGAUGUCAAUCCCUAUAGACAUGCAAUAGUCAUCAAAGGUCUGUGUUGUAAAUUCACCAGCACCAUCAAGGCGGAUGGAUUUAAUAGGGUAAUCAGGAAAAUGUGCCUGUAAUCUAAUGAUUUGAGCAAGAAGUCGUGCAAAUGCCAUAUUUCGUGUAGACAACAGAGACACGUGAGACCAUCGUGCAGAUGCAUCAAUUAACACAAGAAAAUAUCUAAAUGGUCCACAAUGUGGGUGUAUGGGUCCACAAAUAUCUCCUUGAAUCCGUUGUAGGAAUGUAGGAGACUCAGUAGUGACCUUAGUCGGAGAUGGUCUUGUGACCAACUUACCUUGAGAACAAGCAGUACAAACAAAGUCAUUAGAUGCAAGAAUCUUCUGGUUCUGCAAACUAUGCCCAUGUGAAUUUUCAAUAAUUCUUCGCAUCAUACUAGCCCCAGGGUGACCCAAACGGUCAUGCCAUAACAUAAAUGUGUUAUGGUCAUGGAACUUCUGGCCCAUUACUGCAUAAGAUUCAAGGGGCUUGAUGGUUGUGUAGUACAACCCUGAAGAGAUAGCCUUAAGUUUCUCUACAACCUGCUUCUGUCCUGAAACUUCAGAUGUUAUACACAAAUACUCAAUAUCAUGAUCAUUCAUAGUCUCGAUGUGGUAACCAUUAAGACGUAUAUCUUUAACACUAAGUAAAUUUCUUGUGGACUUUGUGGAGUAUAAAGCGUCCACAAUGUUGAAUAUGGUACCACCAGGGAGCAUGAUAUGGGCUCUGCCAGAGCCUUUAACAAGACUUGAUGUACCAGAAAUAGUGUCCACAUUAGCCUUCACAAAUUUCAUUUGUGAAAAGUACCUACGGUCUCGUAAAAUUGUGUGUGUCGUGGCACUGUCUACGAGGCAUACAACUCUACCAUCCGCAAGACGAUUAUGCAUGCUAUAUGCGGGAUCCAUAUCCCUUCAUAGUACAAGAAAAUUAAAGUGAGUACGAGUUAAGAUAACACACACUUAUUAUUUAUUAACAGACACAAUACCAAGUAGUACAGAACAAAAGUACAUAUAAACAGAUACAUGAUAUAAAACGAUAGAUAUAGACUUAAUUGGUGGGGAAACCUCCAUCAAAGAAGUCAAGAUUAUACUCUGGUUCCACAAUGAAAUCAUCAACAUUAAAAAGAGUAGAGUCUUCUGGCUCAGACUGAUCGACAAAGUUUGUUUCCACUUUCUUUCCUUUAUCAUUCUUUGAUGUUUGAUAAAGCUCAACCAAGUGUUUGGCCGUACGACAGGUACGCGACCAAUGUCCUUCCAUACCACAACGAUGACAAGUGUCAUUACCAGUCUUAUGGUAAUGAGUGCUACUGGCACCUUUCCCUUUAUCCUUUUUAGGCUCAGUGUCAUCCCACUUCUGGUGGUAUGGGGUACUUCUGGACCCUUUGUGGUUGGAAUUGUUGUGAUGAGGACCACCACUCUUGUAGUAUCGGCCACUUCUGGGGCAUUUGCCUCUUUUGGGCCCAUUCCACCUUUUAUUACCACGAUAUGAUGACGCAUGUGCUUCAGGCACAGGGGCAGAGCCAGGUGGCCCUUUGUUAGCAUUGCUCAUUAGGAGCUGCUUACUUUGCUCGGCAGAAGUAAGAAUUUCAUUCAACUCUGAGUACUUCUUAAGUCGGCAUUGCCGAUACUGUUCGUGUAGGACCAUAUUUAUAGGAUGAAAUGUAGAUAGUGUUUUAUCUAUCAUUUCUUCCUCAGUAACAGGAUGCCCACAUAACUUCAGGGUGGACGCGAUUUUCAACAACUUCGAGUUGUAUUCAGAAACAGUUUUGAAAUCCUGAAACCUCAAGUGUGACCACUCAUAUCGAGCCCUUGGGAGGGAAAUGGUUCUAUGGUGGUCAUACCUUUCUUUGAAAUUCUGCCAAAGAAUCUGCGGGUCUUUGACAGUGAGGUAUUCAGUUUUCAAUUCCUCAUGGAUAUGGUGGCGAAGAAAAAUUAGUGCUUUAGCACGGUCCUGCUGGGACAGCUGAUUUCCUUCUUUUAUGGAGUCUUCCAGACCUAUGGAAGCAAGAUGUAAUUCGAUAUCAAGUACCCAGGACAGAUAAUUUUCACCAGUAAUAUCCAAAGCAGUAAAUUCCAACUUGGUAAUAUUAGACAUAUUUAUAAUACGAAAAUCAACAAACUUACCCAAAUACUUACACUGGUAACACCUUGUUGAUAUAUACACUUCUUGUAGUUGUUGGACAAUAGAGCAAACUCGUGCUGAUAACGUUUUAAAGUAUUAAGUAACUUGAAGUUAACUCCGCAAUAUACAAAGAGACAGAAGUGACUAGAGGAAUAUAUGUCAUCCCUUUGUGUAUAGAUACAUAUGAAGAAGAGAUUAACCAAGUGUAUGUAUUAUGGAAGAAAGAGAUAAGUGGACGGUAGUUCCCUUUGUAUUCAUACCAUAUUGCUCUGUAUCAUUCUCAUAUACAUAUGUGUAUAUAUAUCUAUACUCUCUAUUAAAGUUGGACUUGCCCUUAAGAAAAAUUUCUCUUUCUAAAUUAGAGUAAAUUUGAUGCUUCAAUUGAAGAGAAUUUAACAUAAAUUAAAAUUUAAAGGGUCUUUAUUGUAAAUUUAUAUCUAAUAUGGCUUAAAUAGCUAGAUGGCUACAUUUGAUAGCACUAUGGCCAUAUAUGUCUUUUUGCACAAAUAUAUUAAUGACUAACCAAAUUUAAUGGAAAUAUAGCUAUAUUUAUCUUAUUAACCCCCCCCCCACCCCACACACACACACACAAAAAAAAAAAAUAAAAAAAAUUCAUACUUUACCUUCUUCCUUCCUCGACAUCUACCCAUGUUCCUGAUACAUCAAAUUCAAUCUAUUCUCUCUUCCUUCUCCAAAUAGUUGUUGGAAACACACACACACACAACCUUCAUUACAAUAGACUAUGUGAAUAUCACGUAGUAGUACAAUCAUAGUUGAAAAUAUCGUUUUUCCACGAAUAUCCGAAUUCUGAAAAAACGGAUUUCUCCGGGGAUAUUCGAAGCUCUUUGUCGAAAAAUUGGGGUUUUCUUUUAAGCGUAAUUAAAAAUUUUAAUUGUAUAAUAUAUUUUUAUCCCCCAAAAAAUAGAAAAGAUCUAGACUUUUACCUAUUUUGACGGUCCUUUCUCUUUUUCUUUACAUUGGGGUCCACAAUUGAUUAGUUUUUAAUAAAAAAACAGUAGACAAUUUCUGUUGAGUACAUACUGACCCUUAGAUAGAUCUACCUUAGAUUUAAUCCAACGGCGUUUUAUAAACCCUAUCUUAUAGAUUGAUUUUUUUGAAGUCAAAACAGAUCGUCUUCUCCACUCUCCAGAAUCCUCAAUAGAAAAAAAAACACAUUUCCACAAAUAUGCAAGAGAAUUUAGUAAACAAUAUGCACAAUAUACCACAAAUCUAACCUUUUUUUAGUCAAACCUUUUAUAAAGAACAAGAUAUUCGAGAUCUAAACUUAUCUAAAGAUCAAUGUUUGCCACUUUUAACGCAAAAUGUCAAUGUUUUUGCGAAAUUUUCGCUAUAUAUCCGAAGAAUGACGAAUAUUCGAAAAACUUCAAACUAAAUGGGGAGGUUUUUUAUUCGAGAAUGCUCCGACAUCGGUACCGAUCCAAAUUUUGAAAAAACGGAAAGUUUCGUGAAUAUUCGCUCGGCACAACCGAUUUUUUCACCUAUGAGUACAAUACUGUGCGUCUUCCAUUUUUCUUUGAGUACAUGUUAGAAAUAAAAUUAUGUGCGCUUUAUAACCAUACAACAUGAUUAUGUUGCGUAAUUAUACUGUGAAUUUCGGGAUUAGUUUAAUCUUAUUUAUCAAUUAUACUAAAAAAAUGGGUAUUUGAAAAGCUAGCCUUCAGCGAAAGGUUAACCCAGAUUAUAAAUUUAAUAGUAUUUUCUGAAAUGAUGUACAGUCUAGACAUAGCCAAAGUUCAACCCAAUAACUUGACAAUGAAGUGAUUUUUUUUAGGCAUUAUUUGGGGAUUACGAAAUAAUAGGGAUACACCUAAAUAUAAAUUUUGAGUUUUUUUCCUGAUUUUUGUCGUGAAAGUAGGGACAGGGAGAAUCGGAAGAUAUAAUUUAUAUAUAGGUCCAACCAUUUUUUUUUUUACUAAAACUAAAAAAUGAAGUCCAAAUUUUUUGUUUUAUACCAAGUAUAGAAUUUUGUAGAUGAAAUAUUUAUUAUAGCAAAUGUAUACUUAGUAUAGAUAUGCCAAUAAACAUGUGGCUCAAAUGUAGUAUCCCUCUCACAAAGUGGAGAUGUUGUCGGUUCGAAACACGUCAGCAGCUGAUUGUUUGAUUGAAAGUUUCCCUCAACGUCGCUUACCAAUAAUAAUAAUAAUAAAAAAUGUAUAUGUUACCUAUUAUAAUAAGCUUCAAUAAGCACUAUAUAUUUUGCAAUCUAAUAUUUUAUCAUAUGCUUCAACUUGAUAUUUCAGUAGUUUUGUUGGGUGGAUUAAUUGUGAAUGGUUACUUUACUACCGUAAGUUAUUAUAUACUAUGUUCUUGCUAAACCCUUUUUAUAUUCAAAACUUAAGCCUAGACUCCAAACAAAAAAUGAACCAAAUCAAUAUGAUCAGUCUAAUUCAUGGUUUGAACAUUCGUAAGAAUAAAAAAAAAAAAAUCAUACCAUGAUUUAUUAUCGCAAUGAAGUAAAAACUUAAUAGAAAAUUCAAUAAUUGCUAAACAUUAUAGCUCAAAAUCUUAGUCAAACAUUCAAAAAAUAAGCAUUUGACGAUAAACUAUUUCAAAAAUUGAAAUCAACCAUAUUUAUGAGAAAAAAAAUUAGUGGUGUAAUAAAACUGUAAAAAUAACAAUUAAACGAAUGACAUACAUUAACAAUUUUUUUUUCAAGAGACUACCCUAAUUUACUUUAUUUAAUAACAUCCGUGCUUUGCACGGGCUUUAUAACUAGUAUGUACAUAAAGUCAAACACUUAUAUGCUUGUGCAAUAGAGAUUUCUGCCACAUGGAAUUCCUUUGUGACACCUAUUAGUGAUGAUGAAUCAACCAACAUUAACUCCUUCAACUAGAUUAGUAUGAUAUGUGGGCUUGAGCUUGGGCUUGUUGAUUGGACACCCACACCAUUCACAACAAAACCGAUAUUAUUCGUGGGAUAUCUGCGAUAUUUUAAACUAUGUUUGAAAUAACAUUUCACAUUGUUUCCGACAGCUUUGUGCAUAUGAAAUGCGCAUUUUCCUAGAAAAAAAAGGGUCAUGAUUUUAUGUGAAGUGAAUAAAUUCUUUUGAUGAUGAUUGAUGAGUAGCAUUUAGCUAGAGUGGGGUCAUUUAAGAUAUGUGUAUAAUUAAGUGAAAACUAUCUACAUGUCUAGGCUCUUCGACAAAAAAUCCAUGAGUCAGUUUGGUCCUGUAUAACAUGCACCUAUGUGAUUGCCUGGGUUUACAGAGAUGGAAUGCUUGCGCGACUCUUCUGCUAAAGAUGCUGAUGUAUCUUGGCUGAUGAGUAAUCAGUCUUUUGAAUGAAUAAAUUGGCAAGUGAAGAUUGAACAUUUGAUAGUUGUUUUCCACCAAAAAAGAUACUGUAGUUGUUUACCUAGCUUAUUUUUUUGGUUCAGUUUGGUGAUCCACUCCACCAAAGUUUAUUUGUAAAUAUAGAACUGCGAGAUACUAAUUGGUGACCUCAGAGAUAUAUAUAUAUAAAUUAUAACAAACAUGAAAAGAAAGACUGAAAUGAUAAAAUUUUCCAACCAGAAAAGACUCAAACAGGCUACUUCUGAUUGUUGAAACCUUCCAGGGUCUAUGGUCCAUGGUCCAUAAACACACCUCAUACAAUUUCCUUUUUAAUACAACAUAUAUACACUGCGCUGCAACAUUACAUUCAAAGUAGACCAAUUCCUAAGUGUAGACUCUAUAGCUAGGUCAGCAACACAGACUCAUGAAUUCCAAUAUUUUGAAGUAACGGUCACAGUACGCUGGUUACAAAUUCACCUCUAUAAAUGCUUUCCAAGCAACACAGCUAUUACAAUUUACAAACACCAAUAUCUUCCCCACACUUGUUUCUCUUGAUUGUUUAAGAAAUUAUGAUGAGUACUUGGUUCAGCUUAACUUCAUUCUUUGAAAGCUAUCUUCGUCGUACUUUCAGUUCUUCUGGUCUCUUACCUCAAACUAUAGAAAUUGAUUCACAAACAACAGUGUCCUUCUGGGGUCCAAACCCAACUUUUCAUUCCAUAGAAAAACCAAAUUUAGUCUUACUCCAUGGUUUCGGUCCAAGGUCUGUAUGGCAAUGGGGACCUCAAGUCAAAAUCCUUGCCUCACAUUUUAACCUCUAUGUUCCAGAUUUGAUCUUCUUUGGUAACUCAACAACCAAAUCUAAAGAGCGAUCAACAGUUUUUCAAGCGGUUUCUAUAGGAAAAUUGCUUGAAAAAUUAGAAGUGAAGAACUUUUCUGUAAUGGGGACAAGUUAUGGUGGAUUUGUAGCUUAUCAUAUGGCAAGGUUGUUUAAGGACAGAAUUGAGAAAGUUAUUAUAGCAAGUUCUGCUCUUAAUAAGAAAGCUAGUGAUCAUCAGGUGCUUUUGGAGAAAGCCAAUGUUAAGAAAGCUGAAGAUAUUAUGUUACCAAAGAAUCCUAACCAGUUGAGAAAUUUGAUGAGGUUGGCUGCGUUCCAUCAACCGCCCUAUUUGCCCGACUUUUUGCUUAAUGACUUCAUAAAAGUGAGUAUAUUUUGUUCAUCCAACUGCCAAUACUGAAUUCUUCAUUCUUCUUUCUCAUAAUUCAUAAUAAACCUUUUAUGGUUGCAGUUUGCGUUCAUAGAGAAUUUGGAGGAAAAGAAACAACUUAUGAUGGAAUUUGAUUUUGGAGAUGAUGUUCAUUUACAGAUUUCUCCUCUUCAACAGGUAUGUUGAGCCCUCGUCCACGAACUAAAUUAUGUAACAUGUGUUACAUAUGAGAUUAUGAUAGAAUUAUGUAUUUAAAACGUUGGCAAAAAAUAAGCUGAUAAAUCUUGACGUAUGUCUUUUGUAGGAGGUAUUGAUAGUUUGGGGAGAGAGUGACAAAAUCUUUCCAUUUAAGAAGGCCCUGGAGCACAAGGAGUAAGUAUGCUGACAAAAUGACUUUGUCUUACAAACAAUGGAAUUAAGGGCAAAGCUAAUACUUGUUUUCUUUUCUAAUUUUGUUUUCAGGCUUUUAGGAGAAAAGGCUAGGUUGGAAGUGAUCAAGAAUACGUCACACAUGCCUCAUGGUGAGGAUUCAAAGAAGUUUAAUGACAUUGUCAUGAGAUUCUUAUCUGGGCCGCAGAUUGUUUCAAUGAAACCCGAAACUAUAGGUGCUAGACUGAGACGCUCACUGUUUUUAAUUUUCACUCUUAAGUAAUCUUUAUUGUAAACCUCUUAUAUAUAAAACUGAGUUUUUGUAUAAAAUGAUGAUAUACUGGCAACUAGCAAGUAAUAAAAGAACAAUUUGUGACUUGAAGACAUUAUUUGGUUGCAACAAUCCUUCACUGAAUGUUGUUCGUUGAUUUGUUAGGUUAGGUAUCUACACUCUAGUCUCUACAUACAUUUCUCAAUACCCUCCAUUAUGAUUGAUCUUGACAGAGAGACCUAACAACAAAUUGUAACAGAGCAUAAAUUCUUGCCAGGCCUGAUUGAAAGACUGCUUUGAAAUUUAGAUUUUCUUACAGGAACCAAACUUUAACAGACCAUCAUGGACGACACAAGACCAUCACUCUAUUAAUAAAUCCUAAGACGAUUACUCGAUCAUACUGCCCCUCUGGCUAACAAUUACCCAAAGAGAGUUAUGAAGGAAAUAAGUUCCGUUGUACUCUUGGAUUGGUUUAAAACUCACUACAUGAGAUGUUAUUCUUUUAAUUUGGUCGGUUAAUCAGUAAUAUAUUCAAGAAAAUAUGGGAUUUUAGCUUCGAUCAACUUAUAUUCAUAGUUUGAACUUUUUAUAUUCUUGUAUCAGGGGAAUUAAAGUGUAUUUGUCUGACCUCAACACCAACAACAUCAGCCAGGCUCCUCAAAUUCAACAUACACCUUGGUUUCACAUGUCAAAUAUAUGUUAUAAAAAAGUUUUCAAAUCUCAUCCGAGGUCAGCUUCACGGCUUACUGGUGCAUAAUUAAUAAUUUUCAACCAGUUAGAGGAACACGUGUCCAACAUGAAAAUUUUAAUUCCCAUGACAGUUCACAAGUCGUAUAGCUUCAAGCUUUUGUAAAAAGUAAAAACUAUGAACCACAUUGUACAUAAUGGCGUCAUUCACAAAAUCACCUUCUCUCCAAGAAAGAAAUUUAUAUAAAUUAUUGAAUAAUUCCCUACGAAUAAGCAUAAUGUUCAUAUAAAAAUAAAUCCCAGCGGCUAGUUUUUGUUUAGCAUGCUCAGAGAAUAUGACGUACAAUACAAACUACAUAUGGGAAAUAGUAAUUCCAAUACACUAACCUCUGGGUGUUUUAGUGUCCUUGUAUGCAAUGUGGCCCCUGCUCCUAGCCGAAGUACGAUAAAUGGAUGUGUUUCCAACCUCCAAUUCAGCAUCAUCUGGAAUAGAAAUAUCCUCUACAUUGCUUACGAUUUCGUUACCCUCAAACUCUCGGAAAGCAUUUUCACUUUUAUACUCAUGAAGGUUAUGUUCUUCCUCCAUAUCUGAGAACUCGUUAUAAGUUUGGAUAUCCCGUUUUUUCCCUCUAUAACCAAUAUGACGUUGUACCUUUUCUUUCCAAAGAACCAAAGGGCACUUCUCAAUGAGCUCACUCCUGUCGUAAGCUUCUGUUAAAUAUACACUUAAUCUCUUACCUCUUUCAGAGACAUAAAAGAUCCCACAAUGUUUCAAAAGGAGUCGCAUCAACUUUUGAGGCAUUAUGAGUUCCUUUCUGAAAUGCGUGAGGUAAUCAGUAACAAGUCUCUUCUCCAUAGUAAAACUAAGUAGCUCAUGCAUGACAGCGAUUGCUCUCUUAUCAAAUUCCUGGGAGCCAGCCUUCAAUCCUCGAGCAUCUGCAUAUGGAGAUAGAUAAGACCGUUUCUGAAAGUGUUCGAUUUUUCCACCAAACCUAAAAAUCUUUUUGUAAUUUGGAGGGAACUUCAUAGGGAAAGGAAGCGAAAGAACCCCAGGGACAGGGGGGUCCAACUCAUUUAUCCCAAUGACUUUCUUUUCUAACUCUGUAACAGCCCAAGCAGGAUUCCAAGAGACAAGUUCCAAAUACUCAACAUCAUCCCUAGGCUUAACUACCCUGAAAUUUUCAGGAUACUUAUGAGCCCAAUUCGUGCGGAAAUCAUAUGGUAGGCCAAAAUCUCUUCGAAAAUGCGCAAUCUUGUCAAUUGGGAUUCGCUUAUCAACUGACAUCAUUAGGAACCUCGUAACAUAUUCUGCAACUUUCUCCCCAAAAGACUCUAAUAUUGCAUCCUCUUCUUCAAUCAAUUCUUCAGCUUCCUUGGUCAUUCCACACCAAGUUACUCCUCUUUGAUCUUUAUACAACUCAAAGAGUUUAGGUGAUUUCUGAAUAAAUUCCGAGAUCUUAUAAGGCUUUUUCAAAUUAAUCUGUCUCCUGUAUUGUUCAAGCGACCUAAUAGGAAUAAUUUGUUCAGGUUCUUUCUUCAAAACUUCCAUUAAAAACAACACUUUUGAAGCUAUUUUCCACUUCUCUGUCACUAUUUCCAAAUCAUGUACUCUCUUAUUCUUACUUCUGUCUUGUAUUCUUUUACUUGUUGUCAUUAAACGUUUCUGCCCCUCUAAGCAAACUCGCAAUAAACCAACUUCCGCAUAUCCAUUUCUCACAUAAUACUGCUCAUUUCUACCAAAUUUGUUCACUAAAUCCGAUAACCUUAUCACCCGAUUAAUACCCAUUGUACCAAACUCAACAAAAAACACUACAUAUAAGAGAUAGGCAUGAAGGGUAUCUUUAUUGAGCUCAUUCACGGAUUUGUUGAAAACAUUACUUAUAACAUUCUAAUCAUUGAAACAAGCAGAACCCAGAAAUUGCCGUGCUUCAAUGAACAAAAGAUUAUACCUUUAGAUCAACUGCUUAAAUCUGUUUGCUUAAGGAAUUUCGACAAACACUUGGGCUGCACUUUUCUGGCAAAACACAACAUAAAGAUAUUUUUGUUCACGAAUGAAGAAGACAAAUUAUUCAGGAACUUUAAAAUGAUGCAAUUGGGCUGGGCGGAAAUGUCUAGUAAAAAUUCGAAAGAGGCUCAUGGGCCAACGUCCAUGGAUCCAAAUUGGAUAAUUCAGAUGUCAAAGUUUUGGAGUUUGGAUUAGUUAGGCAGUUAGUCCUAUGAAUCCCAACAAGCCAACAGCAUAGAUUUGUCUCCAAUUUUGGUCAGAAAUACAUGCCCAGCAUAGGGUUUUUUUUUCAAGGAAUUUUGAGUUUGGCUUUAAUCGAACCUGAAUAUCAGAUGUAGAAAGAAAACGAAAUGACAAAAACCGCAAAUUUUGAACUGUAUAAGAGUUCCAAUUGUCAACUGUCACUUACAAGUUCAAAAAUUAAAGCAACAAAAAAAAGAAAAGCUUAAGAAUUUCACUUACAAGUUCAAAUUAGAAAAAAGGAGCAGCAACAACAACAACAGCAAAGACUGCUUCUUUUCUCAAAAUCUCAAUUUGAUCAAACAAAAAAUUCACAAUUUGAUCAAACUAAUAAUUGAACAAAAAAACAAAAACAAAAAUCAAAUUUUCAAUCGAAUAAUAUACCCUAAUUGUAAAAUCAUACAUUAACAGUGUGGAUACCUGUAAGCAAUGAAGAAGAUUUUAAGCAGAGGUGGUGUUGAAGAAAUUGAAACUAUAACAAGUAAUUAUCGCCGUUUGUUGAAUGAAGAAGAUUUUUAGCAGAGGUGGUGUUGAAGAGAUUAAAACUAUAACAACUAAUUAUCGCCGUAUCGCCGUUUGUUGAAGAAACUGUGGUGGUCUCGGUGAGAAUUGAAAGAGAAGACGGUUUUAAGAGAGAGAGAGAGAGAGAUAUGGAGUAGAGCCCGAUGUUUAGAAGGAAAGAAAGUCAAUUAGGUUUGACCAAUCACUUCCUUCUUAUAUACCAUUUCAUACCACGUGAGGGGAAAAGUGAUUUAUGAUAACAAUUGGCACAGUUUAAAAACGUGGCAACUUUUGGCACACAAAUAAAGCGAUCCAAAUUACUUAAAAACCGAACCAAAAUUUGGCUCACUUAUAAACUGAGGCAAACGGAACGUGCCAAAUUAGAAAACUUGGUGUAGUGUACUGUGUACUGUGUACGCACCCGCCCCGACCCCUCUUUCCCUAAAUCCAUCACUGUCAAAGACCCUGCUUCACAUCCAUCCCAAACAUGAAAUAAACAAUUUUAUAUAUCUAGAAGAUUGAAUGGAUAACAAAUUUGAGACCUCCAUUAUGCUUCUGUACGGACAUUCAAAUUUUCUAGAUGAUAGUAUCAACCUAUAUUGACCUGUUUAUUGCUUUCAUGCGCUAUUUGACUUCUCUUGAGGCAUAAACCGUACCUAAUUACUUAAUUAAUGCAUUAUCAAAUGAGUCCGGGUAUUCUGUUGCUAUUGUAAACAUUUUGACACGUACCCAAUAAAAAAUAGUAAGUUAAUGUCAUCUAUAUUCCGUUAAAUUUUUUAGUUCAUAAUUCAUAUUAGAAAACAAUCAUAAAUAGAUCUCUUUUCUUCUUCGUUAUUUUUUCUCCAAGUCAAAUUUCCCCUUCUAUAAAUUGAACACUAAGAAAAAAAAAUAGCAAUCAAUCUUCUAGUAAUCUAUAUUUCUCUUCUUUUCCACUCCCCUUAAAUAACUCAUAGAUUGAAGAUUUGGAGCUUGUUAGGGAAGAGGAGAAACCUAAUCAAAACAUGAGAAUUAUGAAUUAAAACCAAGAGUAAAAAAUUCUUGGAUUACACCAUGUCCCCAUUUAACAAGCUAGUCUCGAUUUGUUAUGAUCUUUUCAUUUUGAAACAACUAUAAGCCAUAUAAUUCAAGAAAACUUUACAAAUCAAGACUUGAAUUCAUGGGGUCUAUUUCAACACCCAAUUUUUUUAUGUGAAUAAUUCACAGCUACAACACCGUUUCUUCUUGUUUUUGUUUGUAUUCCUUGUGUCCAAUUCAAACUUGGGAUUUACUAAAAAAAAAAAUAACAAAAAAUUAGACUUUGGAGAGAGAAAAACAAUGAAAAGUAUUUUGGUAAUAUUUAUAUACUGUAUUAAAAAAACUAAGACUUAACAGCAAACAAAACUGUUAAAAUGAGUGUUAGUUAUGGACACAUGGCAGAAAAUUUAAUAUAGCAACAGAGGUCUUAUCUCUGUUGCCGGCUACAGAAUACCCGGACUCUUAUCAAAUGUGACAUAGAGUCAAAAUGUGUCCAUCAUCACUUGCCUCUUACCAUACGUCAUGUGGAACUCUCAUUACUCAUUACCUAAUUAACAAAGGAAUUAUACUGGUUACUAGUUUAGGGGUGGGCACGGUUCGGUUCGGUUCAACUUUUCCACUAAACUGAAACCGAACUGUGCAAGUUGGUUCGGUUCGGUUCGGUUUCAAAAACCGAAAAUUAUUAUUAAAACUGGGUUGGACCGAACCGAUUUGAUUCGGUUCGGUUCGGUUCGGUUUUCGGUUUGGGCUUUAUUAUGGGCUUUUGUGUUUUGGGCUUUAAUAACUUCAUUUUUUUUAUUUUUUUUUUUGUAAUUUUUUUGAAUAUUUGAAUAUAAUCUAAUAUUUAUAAAAAAAUAAAAAAAAAACAAAAAAAAAAAUCAUAUAUAACGUGUAUAUAUAAGUAAAAAAUAAAAAAAUAAAAAAUAUAUAUAUAUAUAUAUAUUAAUAAAUAUAUAUUCGGUUCGGUUCGGUUUGAACCGGAAUAUUAGAAUAGAAAUUGGAACCGAAUUGUAUAUACUCGGUUCGGUUCCGAUUCCAGUUCGGUUUUGACCGGUUCCUAGUCAACACAGUUUUGACCGGUUUUGACCCGGUUCGGUUCCGGUUUUAAUUCAGUUUCCCGGUUUUUUGCCCACCCCUAGUUUUAACUAUAUACCAUUAGAUUAAAAAAAAACACACACAUACACACGCGUUUUAAUUUGCUAAUUCCAUCGUUGACUUCAUCAUUUUUUCAAAUUUAGAAUUACUUAUUGCAAUAUAGAACUCGCUCUAGUCUCAGGCAACACACACACAAAUUAGACAGCUGAACUGGUUUACAAGGCCACAGCCAUUUUUAUUCCUUUACACUUGGGGAAUACAUUCACUUAAGUCUGUUUUCCCAAUCAGACCAAGUCUGGUUUUAUAGACCAGCAACUAUACACAUGUCAUGGUGUGAUAGGUCCUCACCUACCCUUAUCUAUACACAUGUCAUGGUGUGAUAGGUCCUCACCUACCCUUAUCUAUACACAUGUCAUGGUGUGACAGGUCCUUACCUAACCUAAUCACUAGUGUUUCACCAAACACUCUUUUCUUGCCAGGUGUGGCAGUUUAACUAACUUCCUGUUGAUGUGUUGCACACCUGUUUGCCCAGCAAACAUAUUCCAACACUUGUCAAGCCUAGCCAACGAAUGCUCGCCACCUGGACUCAAGGCAAUGUCCAGCACACUGCCACCAUGUAUUCCCAAUCAUUUAGCCAAAUGAACCAUCAUCAAUGCACCAGCAUGAUCUACCUUGUCGUCUGACAAGAAUGCAACGUGGUACUGCCUACCGCGCUUUGGUUCCUUGUAAUCUGACAAUGCCCGUACCGGGGCUGCAUUUUGACAUACUUUCAAGCUUGUCAAAAAUGCUCAGGGCCAAAAGGUCUAACAGCUUCCUACUACAAAAUCUAAGCUACUGAAGUACUGAUCAUAGUACAAAAUAUCGCAAUAUAUCACGAUAUAUCGCGAUAUUUAUCGGUUUUCAAAGAAAACGAUACGAUAUAUUCCCGAAAUUUUCGCCUUAAAGUAUCUGUAAAAUAUCGGCCGAUAUUUUUCGAUAUAUUCCGAUAUAUUCGAUAUUUUUCGAUAUUUUUCGAUAUUUUCUGGAAAUAUUAUUUUUUUUUUUGGAAAUAAUUUGUUUAUUCUAUUUUUAGUAGAUAUGAUGUUUUUUAGGUAAAUACUAUGAAAAUAUACUUUCAAAUUUGAUUUUAUAUAUAUUUUGUAUAACAAAUUGAUAUAUUAGUCGAUACAUUCCAUGUAAAAUAUCCACCGAUAGAUUCCAAUAUAUCCCGAUAUAUCUAUUUUUUGGAGAUCGAUACAUUAGUCGAUAACGAUAUUUUGUACUACGGUACUGAUAUCGUUACAAGGAUUCCAUUUUUUUUUAUUUUGUAGGUCAGGUACCCUUAUCCACAGUGGAGUCACUAUCAACUGAUAUAAAGCACACAUUUUAUAUCGAUUACCCUACAACUAAAAUACAAAUAAUCCUUCUUUCGUGUGGAACCCCACACGAAUUAAACACGAGGAAAACAUCAAUCUAAAUAUCUUUCUAACCACGUUCUUAUUCAACCCCACCGCGUUCCUUAUUACUUCAAUCUCCUUUCAAUUCAUUCCACGUGUCUUCUCGUCUUACUAUCUUCAUCUAAACACGCUUACUUGGACUCACUUCAUCACUCUUUUAAGUCUCACUCUCUGACUAUAUCUCUUCAUAUUUCACAUAUAAAAAGAGCCGCCAUUCUCAAAUCUUCAAACAACAACAACAACAAACAACUUACAUACAUACAUAAGCUUCCAUCUUCUUCACUCUGGAUCAAUCAAGAAUGGUGAAAACAACACAACCAACAACAACAACAACAACAACAACAACACCAACAAGUGACGAUGCCAAACAAAAAAGGAUUAACGACGAUAACAUUCGAUUUAAAGGAGUAAGAAAAAGAAAGUGGGGGAAAUGGGUAUCAGAAAUCCGUUUACCAAAUAGUCGUGAAAGAAUUUGGUUAGGUUCAUAUGAUACACCGGAAAAAGCUGCACGUGCAUUUGAUGCUGCUCUUUAUUGCUUACGUGGAAAACAAGCUAAAUUCAAUUUCCCACAAAAUCCACCUGAUAUUCAAGGUGGUACUUCACUUAAACCACAUGAAAUUCAAGUUGCUGCUGCCAACUUUGCUAAUCAAAUCCCAUCAUCUUCAUCUUUAUCACAACAAAUAGAUUCCCAUAAUCAUCAUUUUAAUGACUUCGUCGUGCCUUCGUCUCCCCCACAGUCGAAUUCAGAUAGCGGAGGUGUUCAAACAGGAAGUGAUUUAUCAGUUAUGGAUUGGCCUUUAUUGGAUUUUUCAAUGAUGACUGGUUCAGAAAGUAGUACACCAGAUUUUGGUAAGUUUGGUGGACUAGAUGAUUUUGCAGAGAAUUAUUUGGCGCCAGAAUUAAAUUUUGAUAAUUAUGAUGAACAAGAAAUCAACGGUGGAGAUUGUUCGCAGAGCUCUUUUCUUUGGAAUUUUUAACAAUAGGGAAAGAGAAAGAGAAAACAGAGUAACCAGUGUCAGAUAGCCGACGAAUUUUAAUUGUUGGAAUUUCUGAUUAGUUAAGCCGGAUUUUUAUUGGGUGACGAUCGUUUUAAAUGACGUCAUUCCAUUUUGAUUUUCAGAAUAGUUUACGCACGUGAGUUUUUGUUAUGGGAAAACCAGUGACUGGCAUAACUUUUGGCUGACGUGGAAAAGCUAAAAGCUAGCAUAGACUUAUAUUUUUUUUUUUUUUUUGUAUUUUUCUAUAUAUUCAAUUGAUUUAUUUUAUGUCAAUUGUAAAGUGUUCAUGUAACCAUUCUUUUCAUCUAUAAAAUGAAUAAUAAAAAUAAGCAUUUUCAAUCGAG
Molecule: long non-coding RNA, 19640 nt
Filed under: Aquilegia coerulea
Lineage: Eukaryota; Viridiplantae; Streptophyta; Magnoliopsida; Ranunculales; Ranunculaceae
Description: long non-coding RNA (ACOE_LNC002126)
Source: RNAcentral